RNAcentral lists this long non-coding RNA (420 nucleotides) under Fukomys damarensis (Damara mole-rat). Its description in RNAcentral is "lncRNA (ENSFDAG00000033467.1)". Lineage: Eukaryota; Metazoa; Chordata; Mammalia; Rodentia; Bathyergidae. The record is from RNAcentral.
UCUGAUUAAUUACCAACCACAUAACUUGGUAUUCUCACUUCCUCUAGUGGCAUCCCUGGAUGACUCAACAGUCCUUAAUACAUAACUGGUGAGAAGCAGCUGACAAUGCAGAUUGCAAAGAAUGGUGCGAUACGAUUUGUUAAUGUUUUCAUCCCUAUUUCAUUUGAAACAGAAUGAUCUGCCAUUUCCUGCCAGGAGAGGCAGAGCUUCCUUCUGCAGAUGAAGAAGGUGGUGAUGCUGCUGGAGAAACCUGGCAGGCUUCUGGUCUCUGUAUGUACAAAGAUGGAGAACAGCUGGAAAUCAAAGGAGAAGGAGAAUCCUCUUCCUAUCCUCUUGCUCUUCUGAGUGCCAACACUUUUCCAUGUGAGUAGUCGGUCCUUACGUAGCAGAGUUUGGAAGCCACAUCAUUGGUUGCUUAUU